RNAcentral lists this long non-coding RNA (5937 nucleotides) under Musa acuminata (dwarf banana). RNAcentral's name for it is "long non-coding RNA (MACU_LNC000728)". The record is from RNAcentral. Lineage: Eukaryota; Viridiplantae; Streptophyta; Magnoliopsida; Zingiberales; Musaceae.
UCCCGUGAUUCCGGAGCCCGAUUCCAGAUCGCAAGGUGUUUUUUUCUUGGACAUCGGGAUGAUGAUACACACUGGAGGGAGAGAGAGGACACAGGAAGAGUUUGAGGCAAUGGCGAAGGAAGCAGGGUUUACAGGGUUCAAGGCCACCUACAUAUCUCUCUAUUCUUGGGUUAUGGAGUUCACAAAGUAGAUAAAAGAAAGAUCUAUGUCAUGUGCUGCUGUAGUAGAGUAGAAGAUAUACAUGCCUUAUGUAUUGCUUUCAGCUCCCUGCUGCCAUAGUAAGCUACCACGAGGUCGAGAGACCUCCGAAUGGACUUUGCUACGCUUUGAAAUCAGACUUUGCGACAGUGCUGUAAUAAGAUUCCAAAAGUUAUAUGUUUAUGAAGGUUUUGCUCGUAUUUGUUGGAAAAAGUUCACAUUUCAAACAGAGAUUUGAAUAGGAUUUAUAAUGUGUAUAUACAUUAGAAAUAUUUUUCUUUAUAUAAUUUUUUAAGUUAUUUUUUAAAAAUAUUUAUUUUGAUUGAAAGUUUUUACGUUUGUUAUUUGUUAAAUAAAGUUGCAUACUAAAUCUCUUCCAGACUCGUCUAAUAUAUUAUUUUUGAGAUAUUUAUAAUAAUUCUUGAUAUUUAUCCCUAAAUAUCUCAAUGCCAAUAACAUAAAAUAUUUUAUUCAUAUCAAUCAUCUUAAAAUUCUUGAUGAGAAAUUUUUUAGUCUUGUACAAGAAACUAAGGUCACAAUUUGGAAGUAAAAUAUUAUCUAUAUACAAGAUCAAUAUAAUAAGCUUGCUCCCACUAAUUUUUAUAUAUAAAUAGUGAUCGACAUCAUUUUUUUUAAGAUUCGAAAAAAGUAAUGAUAUCAAGAAACUUUAUAUACCAUUGUUUGUAUUUCUGAUCAUAAAUAUAUUUUAAAAUUUAUAUAUAAAAUUUUUUUCUCUAUGAAUUGUUUAGUUUAAUCCAUAUAAAUCUUCUCAUCGAGAUUCUUAUUCAAAAGUUACUUUUAUAUCCAUAUGAUAUAAUACAAAAUCAGAAUGAAUUAUUAAUAUUAUGAUGAUUCUUAACAAGUUUAUUUAAAAAAUUAUAAAAAUUAUCUCGUUAUGAUCGAUAUAUUCUUUAUGAGUAAAAUUCUUGGUCACAAGUUUAACUUUUAUAUCGUUUGAUAUUACUCAUUGAAUAAUGUUUAUAGAUAACAAAACAACUUGAUGAGUUUCUUAAAAGCUAUUUUGGUGCAUUGAUCGAAACUUUUUUUUAAUAUAUUAUAUUAUUUUUUAUAAUCGUUACAAUGAGGAACUUUUUAAUUCCUAUUUCACAAUAUGAUUUUUUCAAAUGUACUAUAUAAACUAUAUAAUGAUAGGUCUUAUUUUUCUUUGAGAUCUUCUUAGAACUAUCGAUUGUGAUUAUUUUAUAAGAUCAUUAGCGAUUGAUAUCAACAUCAUAUAGGAGUUCAUCAAUAUUAUUCUAUUAUUCACCCACAUCAAUUCUUUUAGUAAUUUAAUAAACAAUAAUCACUUGAAUAUAAAAUGAUAAAAGAGUAUCAACAUGUAUUUUUUCAAUAUCAAGAUUAAAUUUUAAAAUUUUUAUUUUCACUAAUUUGUUAUUUUUUAAGAAUCUUGUAUUACCAAAUUUAAUUAUCAUCGUACUACGAUAAAGUUAAUAAAAUAAAUAUUCCUAUGAUUUUUUUAGAUAAAUAAUAAAAUAUCUAAAUAUAAUCCUUGAAUCUAAUUAUUUUUCAUAUAAAUUGAAGAUCCUUAUCUGUGUAGGAUAAUUAUAAAUAUAUAAAUAUCUUAGUUUUCGACUAGUCCAUAACAAAAAAAUAUAUAAUGAAAUUGACUUAAUAGAAACUUUAUUCAAGAUAUAAUCAUCCUUGGAGUAUCUACUCAUAUUAAUUCGAGUAUAAAAGAAUAACUCAUAAUACUUAUAACCAUAUCCGUAAGAGUAUGAUUUCGUCUUUCAACAAUCUCAUUUUGUUGUGUUACUUUUGAUAAGAUAUACUAAGCACAAAUACCUCGUUAUUCUAAUAAUCUAACAAAAGACAUAAAAUUAUGAUUCAAUUCAUCAAGACGAUAUCAUAAAACUUAUCAUCCUUGUCAGAUCUGAUAAUUUUAAUUUUUAUCUGAUUAUCUUAUCAUAGAUAUAAAUAUAUAUAAUUUAAUAAAAUUAUAAUUUUAUUUUAAUAUUUAAUUAUAGAACCAUUAUAAACUUCGAUACAGUCUUCUCGGACAAGAGGUUGGGCUGCAGUCAUUGGUGGCCGGCAUGUUGCUUAUGAGUUGGGAGACUAAGAAGAGUAAGAGAGGCGGGGUCGGACUUUAUACUAAGCUACAACUUCAAGUAUAAGGUGACGAACAACACACUGAUCAUCUACGCAUUAAUAUGACAUCGAUAUGACAUACGCAACCCGUAGUUAAAAGAAUUGUGUUUCACGGCCAUGACACUGCUAGCGUGAACUAUUUAUUGAUAUGUUUCUCCCUCAUCCGAUGAUGAUGAUGUUUCUCCCUCCUCCGAGCAUCACACCCAUGAAAAGAUGAUACGAAACAAAUGGUUGGAUGGAAAGAAUGUUUACAUUUGGGAUACCGUUAUAUCAUUGUAAGCAUCAGCUGGAACUGCUUAACGAAACCCACCUGCCGGUCAAUUUGAAUUGGUCGUGUCGGCCGAUUGCCACGAGUUAAGUUUCGAGACAAGAUCGAUCAUGUCGUUCGUACAUUUGAUUAACCUUUGGGUUGCCUGCAAAUACGGCACUGUACGCAGCUUGUGGAUCCAGUCGACGUGAACUCACGCGCAUGCCAUGCCAUGCCAUGUCGUUCCCAUAAUGAAAGAAAAUUUGAAUCAUUAUCCAUCCUUUUCUUCUAAUAUAUAUAAUAACGGAUGGACAUAUUUUUUUCUAGAAUUGUAAUAUACUAGUAGGCAUGUGACCAGCGAUGUUUCCAAAAAUAUAAAAAAUAAAAAAUAAAAAAGAGAGCUAAGAGCCGAUGAUUUGAAGGAAACUUAGCACAAGUAUAAAGGAUAUUCGAACGAUAUGAAUUUUAACGAAGAUCUCGAAGGUAAUAUAAAUCUAUCGAAUAGCCUUCAAUCAACCUCAUGAACAUAUUUAUAGUUUAGAAAUUUAUAUGAUGGAUAUGAUGGGUAGAUAUGAUCGAUCAGUAUUAAUGCAUGGAUAUGAUGGAUAGAUAUGAUCGAUAAGUAUUUACUUUUUUUUAAAUAAAAAAUAAAAUAAAGAUAAAAUUGGAACUUAGAACCUUAUAUAAACUAUGGAUCAGAAUAUUUAUAAAUUAAACUAACUAAUAUAUUCAAAAUAUAUCAAUUAAAAUUUUAAAUUCUUAGUCUUUGAUAAAUAUAUUUGAUACAUCAUCACAGUACUAAUAUAAGAUGUACCGAUCAUAUACUUAUUCCAACAUUGCAUAAAGUAGGACUAGUCAGCGUGUCAUUGCGUGAUAGUAUUGCGACCUCGUAGUCAUGACAUGAUCAAUCCUCCUACUUGUAGUAUACAAAUAUUCUUUUGUUUGUUUUCCUUUUCUAUCUUAUGUCGAAACAAAAUAGUCGCCUAAACUACUACACAUAAAAUAUACAUUCAAAAUAUUUCACUUGACAUUUUAAACCCUUACUAUUUAAUAAAUAUAUCAUACGUGUGACUAGUCAGCAUAUCCACGUUUGACUUCAAUGAGCCUUUUGGUCAUCUCCGUGAUAGUCUGGCGAUCUCGUAGUCAUGAUCAAGCAACGUGAGCAAUCCUCCUACUUGUAGUAUACAAGUAUUCCUUUGUUUUGUUUUCUUUUUCUAUCUUCUGUGAAAACAAAAUAGUUGCCUAAACUGCUACACAUAAAGUAUGCAUUGCAAGAAAAAUAUGACACAAUAAAUCUAGGGCUCUUAAUCUUCUCGCCAAUGGCAUGCAUGCAUCAAGACAUUUGAACUUUGCGUACCUCUACGCUAAGAUAUUCAGUGCUUCGACGCAUAUAAAUCUCAUCCCAACGAUUACUCCCUUAUCAAUUUGAUCCGGGUUUAUAGAGCUCCUCCAUUAUCGCCUCCCUCAUCAUCAUCUCUCUUUGUAAGGAUGGGAUUCACCAAGGGAGUGGUGCAGCAGCUGAGCCCCGAGGAGGAGGAGGAGGCACGCUUGCUCGCCAUGAGGCUUGUGACGGGAUCCUGCCUCCCAAUGAUUCUCAAUGUGGCCAUCGAGCUCGAGCUCCUCGAGAUCAUCGUCAAGGCUGGCCCCGGCGCCAAGCUGAGUCCCGACGACAUCGCCACCCAGCUGCCCACCGAGAACCCACAGGCGGCCGAUAUGGUAGACCGGAUCCUCCGCCUGCUCGCCGCCAACGGCGUCGUCAGUUGCUCUGUGGAAUCCGGCGACGAUGGGCGCCCCUCGUGCAAGUACGGGGCCACGCCUGUCUGCAAGUACCUGACCAAGAACGAGGACGGCGUGUCCAUGGCCGCUUUCUGCUUGAUGGUCCACGACAAGGUCACCAUGGAGAGCUGGUAGUCGACGGAGCCAACAACGUCUACUCUUACUCGUUUCUUCUCGCACUAAAAAGUUGGCCGAAGGAUUAAUCAGCUUAUUGGUUUUGCCUCCACAACGAUCGCAGGUACUACCUGAAGGAUGCGGUGUUGGAGGGGGGCAUCCCAUUCGAGAAGGCCCACGGCAUGACGGCGUUCGAGCACCACGGCGGCGAUCCACGGUUCAACAAGCUGUUCAACGACAGCAUGAGGAACCACUCCACCAUCUUGAUCAAGCAACUGCUGGAGACCUACCGCGGCUUCGACGACGUCAAGGUGCUCGUCGACGUCGGCGGCGGGACCGGCGCCACGCUCCACAUGAUCACCUCCAGGCACCCGCACAUCAAGGGCGUCAACUUCGACCUCCCUCUUGUCAUCGCCAGCGCAACGACCAACCCAGGUUCGCCAUUUAUAUCAGACAUUCGUCACUGUCAUAGUGCCUACCUCUUACAACGAAGCAAAAGAAUUCAUAAACUUGGGAUGCGUUGGCUCCAUGCAGAUGUAGAGCACGUCAGCGGCGACAUGUUUGAGAGCAUUCCGGGUGGAGGAGACGCCAUUUUCAUGAAGAACAUUUAGAUUUUUUCCUUACUCAUUUAAUGUUUGAGGUUUUGGUUAGGCAGCAUGUCGAACUUAUCAAAAAAAUUUGAAGGUUAUUAAUGAAAGAUACCACUCUUCAAAGUACUCGAGACAUAUCAAUCAACCAAAUGAAAAGGGUAAAUCAAGCGGGACAAACAAUCAAAAAGAAUGAAGGAAAAAUAUUUACACUUUAAGAUCGAGGAGAUGGAGUCAAAGAAAAAGCACACAAGGCACAAAUAUCGUCCUCCGCUUCCUCAUAGGGUGGAGACGCGGAGUUAUGCAUCUAUUCGCAACAAGUUUGACAACUCAUUAGUCUUUAUCGACGUUAUUUUGCAGUGGAUUCUUCACGACUGGACUGAUGAGCAGUGCGCGAGAAUACUAAAGAACUGUUGGAAGGCUUUGCCGGAGGAAGGGAAGGUUAUAGUAGUGGAAUACUUGCUUCCCGUGAUUCCGGAGCCCGAUUCCAGAUCGCAAGGUAUUUUUCCCUUGGACAUCGGGAUGAUGAUACACACUGGAGGGAGAGAGAGGACGCAGGAAGAGUUUGAGGCAAUGGCGAAGGAAGCAGGGUUUACAGGGUUCAAGGCCACCUACAUAUCUCUCUAUUCUUGGGUUAUGGAGUUCACAAAGUAGAUAAAAGAAUGAUCUAUGUCAUGUGCUGCUGUAGUAGAGUAGAAGGUAUACAUGCCUUAUGUAUUGCUUUCAGCUCCCUGCUGCUAUAGUAAGCCACCACGAGGUCGAGAGACCUCCGAAUGGACUUUGCUACGCUUUGAAAUCAGACUUUGCGACAGUGCUGUAAUAAGAUUCCAAAAGUUAUAUGUUUAUGAAGGUUUUGCUCGUAUGUUGUUGGAAAAAGUUCACAUUUCAAACAGAGAUUUGAAUAGGAUU